UAGAUACCCUGUUAUACUAUAGUUAAAAAAUUUGGUUACAGCUAGAGUAGUAAGAAUCUAUUAGUUUUAAAUUCAAAGAGUUUGGCGGCACUUUAGUCCGGUUAGAGGAACCUGUUUUGUAAACGAUAGUCCUCGUAAAAUCUUUCUUGCUUUUGUUAAGUUAGUAUACCUUCAUUAUUAGAUAAUUUUCUGAUAUAAAUUAUUGUAAUUGAUUAAAAUCAAGGAUAUUAGAUCGCGGUGCUGCUGAUAAGCAAGUAUUAAUGGGUUACAAUAAGAUUGAGUUAAACGGAUCUAUCAGCGAAAAAGAUAGUAAAGGUGGAUUUAAUUGUAAUGUAGGUUUAAUAAGCUUGCUUGAGAUAGGCUCUAGAGUGUGUACAUAUCGCCCGUCGC
This 390-nucleotide ribosomal RNA is filed under the name Scyllarides brasiliensis. Its description in RNAcentral is "partial 12S ribosomal RNA". Lineage: Eukaryota; Metazoa; Arthropoda; Malacostraca; Decapoda; Scyllaridae. The record is from RNAcentral.